AAAUAGGUUUUUUUCGAAACCAAAACUUUUGUCUUGAAAAUACGUAU
Molecule: non-coding RNA, 47 nt
Organism: Zea mays
Lineage: Eukaryota; Viridiplantae; Streptophyta; Magnoliopsida; Poales; Poaceae
Source: Rfam